Molecule: unclassified non-coding RNA, 320 nt
Filed under: Hevea brasiliensis (rubber tree)
Lineage: Eukaryota; Viridiplantae; Streptophyta; Magnoliopsida; Malpighiales; Euphorbiaceae
Source: RNAcentral
GUGAAGCUAAUUUAAGUUCAAAUGUAAAAGUAUAAAAUCAGACUGGCCAUCCAAGUUUAUUAUGCACUACUAGAAACUUUUUUAAUUAUCAACAGGACAAAGGGCCAGUAAUCCUAUUCUUAGUAUUCAUUUCAAAAAAUUCUCAGGAGGUAAUGCUUAUUGAAUGAGAAAAAGGAAGCAUCCAAUAAGCAGCAUAAAAGAGAUUGCAUGAACAUGCGCAUACACGACAAAAAUUAAAAUGGAAUAAAUUAACACCACGCAAGGUCUCAUAGACUCCAUCCUUAAAGCAAUAAUAGUAGCAGCCACUGCAGCCCUUGAAC